RNAcentral lists this ribosomal RNA (272 nucleotides) under uncultured bacterium. RNAcentral's name for it is "partial 16S ribosomal RNA". It matches the Rfam family "Bacterial small subunit ribosomal RNA", at positions 524 to 790 of the family's 1533-position model. The record is from RNAcentral.
UACGUAGGGGGCAAGCGGUUGUCCGGAUUUAUUGGGCGUAAAGAGCGUGUAGGCGGCCAGACAGGUCCGUUGUGAAAACUCGAGGCUCAACCUCGAGACGUCGGUGGAAACCGCAUGGCUAGAGUCCGGAAGAGGAGAGUGGAAUUCCUGGGUGUAGCGGUGAAAUGCGCAGAUAUCAGGAAGAACACCCGUGGCGAAGGCGGCUCUCUGGGGACGGUACUGACGCUGAGGCACGAAAGCGUGGGGAGCAAACAGGGAUUUAGAAACCCCGG